AAAACGGCCCUUUUCAGGGCCACCAAAUACUAAAAGAUCAUAAGCAG
This is a regulatory RNA element of Tropilaelaps mercedesae, 47 nucleotides long. It matches the Rfam family "Histone 3' UTR stem-loop". From Rfam's summary of the family: The mRNAs of metazoan histone genes lack a poly-A tail. 3' end processing occurs at a site between a highly conserved stem-loop (modelled by this family) and a purine rich region around 20 nts downstream (the histone downstream element, or HDE). Lineage: Eukaryota; Metazoa; Arthropoda; Arachnida; Mesostigmata; Laelapidae. The record is from Rfam.